This 209-nucleotide ribosomal RNA is filed under the name uncultured Staphylococcus sp. RNAcentral's name for it is "partial 16S ribosomal RNA". It matches the Rfam family "Bacterial small subunit ribosomal RNA", at positions 150 to 355 of the family's 1533-position model. Lineage: Bacteria; Bacillati; Bacillota; Bacilli; Caryophanales; Staphylococcaceae. The record is from RNAcentral.
CGGGAAACCGGAGCUAAUACGAUAAUAUUUCGAACCGCAUGGUUCGAUAGUGAAAGAUGGUUUUGCUAUCACUUAUAGAUGGACCCGCGCCGUAUUAGCUAGUUGGUAAGGUAACGGCUUACCAAGGCGACGAUACGUAGCCGACCUGAGAGGGUGAUCGGCCACACUGGAACUGAGACACGGUCCAGAUCCUACGGGAGGCAGCAGCU